GUUGCCUCGGCAGCCUCACCCUUCCUCGUGGAGUGUUUUCGAGGUUUUAGAUAUUUCGGUAGGUUUCACUCGAUUUUGCGAGAACGGGGAAAUAAGCGACGUCCACAGGGCUUUAUUUAAAAACUGCAAUCCUUCGAAUGUGGUCGACUUCGAGCGUAGGACGGCGUACAAGGUGUCUUGGGACGGUGACGCGAACACUCGAGGAGGCUAUUACGACGCCCAGAUCCUCGAACUGACGGGACUACCUGCGGCUCGGCUGUUGAUGCGGGAGGUGCUGUAGGGCCCUACUGCCUAACACUUGCUGACGAGGACAUCCUUGCAAAGAAUGAGAUCGUGGAUCCUAGCAUCGGCCUCCAGAAAAGGAAGGAAUGAUCCAUGUCGGGCAAGGUGUGCACGUCAACCAGGAAUGCGGGCAACAUGCGGAAAGCAGAGUGCGACUCCAUGUUUUGCAAGAUCACUGCUGCUUCCAUAGGGCUGCUUUUGACUACACCUGAGGGAGAAAGGUACCGCCAGGCUGAAAGGGCAGCCCGGCACCAGAAGAUACGGCGGUACCUGUCAGAAAAGCUGUCCAAUCUCAAGAGAAAUCACUACAAAGGCUCGUCCCUUUGCUGCCUGUCCUCCCCCGAUGCGUGGUCCCACCACGGACUGCCCAUGCUGUUGCAGGUCUGCCAUCGCUUGCACCCCAUGUUGUAGCCUUUUUACCCUUUUCUUCAUAUUAAUUUAGCUUAAUUUAUAUAUUGCCAAUACUAUAGAAAUGGAACAAAUGUAC
RNAcentral lists this unclassified non-coding RNA (769 nucleotides) under Ixodes scapularis (black-legged tick). RNAcentral describes it as "uncharacterized LOC115323411, transcript variant X4". Lineage: Eukaryota; Metazoa; Arthropoda; Arachnida; Ixodida; Ixodidae. The record is from RNAcentral.